Molecule: ribosomal RNA, 1418 nt
Filed under: bacterium CWISO12
Lineage: Bacteria
Description: 16S ribosomal RNA
Rfam family: Bacterial small subunit ribosomal RNA
Source: RNAcentral
AGUCGAGCGGAAACGAGUUAUCUGAACCUUCGGGGAACGAUAACGGCGUCGAGCGGCGGACGGGUGAGUAAUGCCUAGGAAAUUGCCCUGAUGUGGGGGAUAACCAUUGGAAACGAUGGCUAAUACCGCAUGAUGCCUACGGGCCAAAGAGGGGGACCUUCGGGCCUCUCGCGUCAGGAUAUGCCUAGGUGGGAUUAGCUAGUUGGUGAGGUAAGGGCUCACCAAGGCGACGAUCCCUAGCUGGUCUGAGAGGAUGAUCAGCCACACUGGAACUGAGACACGGUCCAGACUCCUACGGGAGGCAGCAGUGGGGAAUAUUGCACAAUGGGCGCAAGCCUGAUGCAGCCAUGCCGCGUGUGUGAAGAAGGCCUUCGGGUUGUAAAGCACUUUCAGUCGUGAGGAAGGUGGUGUAGUUAAUAGCUGCAUUAUUUGACGUUAGCGACAGAAGAAGCACCGGCUAACUCCGUGCCAGCAGCCGCGGUAAUACGRAGGGUGCGAGCGUUAAUCGGAAUUACUGGGCGUAAAGCGCAUGCAGGUGGUUUGUUAAGUCAGAUGUGAAAGCCCGGGGCUCAACCUCGGAAUAGCAUUUGAAACUGGCAGACUAGAGUACUGUAGAGGGGGGUAGAAUUUCAGGUGUAGCGGUGAAAUGCGUAGAGAUCUGAAGGAAUACCGGUGGCGAAGGCGGCCCCCUGGACAGAUACUGACACUCAGAUGCGAAAGCGUGGGGAGCAAACAGGAUUAGAUACCCUGGUAGUCCACGCCGUAAACGAUGUCUACUUGGAGGUUGUGGCCUUGAGCCGUGGCUUUCGGAGCUAACGCGUUAAGUAGACCGCCUGGGGAGUACGGUCGCAAGAUUAAAACUCAAAUGAAUUGACGGGGGCCCGCACAAGCGGUGGAGCAUGUGGUUUAAUUCGAUGCAACGCGAAGAACCUUACCUACUCUUGACAUCCAGAGAACUUUCCAGAGAUGGAUUGGUGCCUUCGGGAACUCUGAGACAGGUGCUGCAUGGCUGUCGUCAGCUCGUGUUGUGAAAUGUUGGGUUAAGUCCCGCAACGAGCGCAACCCUUAUCCUUGUUUGCCAGCGAGUAAUGUCGGGAACUCCAGGGAGACUGCCGGUGAUAAACCGGAGGAAGGUGGGGACGACGUCAAGUCAUCAUGGCCCUUACGAGUAGGGCUACACACGUGCUACAAUGGCGCAUACAGAGGGCGGCCAACUUGCGAAAGUGAGCGAAUCCCAAAAAGUGCGUCGUAGUCCGGAUUGGAGUCUGCAACUCGACUCCAUGAAGUCGGAAUCGCUAGUAAUCGUGGAUCAGAAUGCCACGGUGAAUACGUUCCCGGGCCUUGUACACACCGCCCGUCACACCAUGGGAGUGGGCUGCAAAAGAAGUAGGUAGUUUAACCUUCGGGCGGACGCUCAC